AAGUCGUAACAAGGUAACCGUAGGUGAACCUGCGGUUGGAUCAUUACCAAAGAUAUAAAAGAGCAGCUCCUAAUAUAUGAAUUUUUGUGUAUUAGGGGUUGUCUUCUUUUUUACACCUUUUGUGAACUUAAAAUCGUGUUUUUGUGUUAUUUGGCAGUUUGGCGAAACUGUAAUAAGCCGCUGUUUCUGUUUAAGGGAAGCAUGGGCUGCCAAAAAACAAAAUAUAUUAUAACUUUUUAUAUUUAUUUUCUUUUUAAAACUUUUUUUUAAUGUUUUUUUUUCCUUUUGGGAAAAAUUUACCUAUAAAAAAAUAAUUAAAAAACAACUUUUGACAACGGAUCUCUUGGCUCUU
This 352-nucleotide unclassified non-coding RNA is filed under the name fungal sp. Its description in RNAcentral is "partial internal transcribed spacer region". The stretch from base 1 to 46 matches the Rfam family "Eukaryotic small subunit ribosomal RNA", at positions 1786 to 1831 of the family's 1831-position model. The record is from RNAcentral. Lineage: Eukaryota; Fungi.